CCGUCAUCUCUAUUUAAUCGUCUUCGAAGCAUAACAGUACACAACGAACAUGCCCCGAUACAGAGGCGAACCACCUGCAGUUCGCGUAUAUACAGUUUGCGACGAAUCAAAAUAUUUGAUUGUGAAGAACGUUCCGGCGUUGGGUUGUGGUGAUGAAUUGUCGAAACAGUUCGCAACAUAUGGAGAUAUUAAGAGUAAUUUCUCUCUCCUCUCUCUAUAUGAAAUGUAAUAUGGCCAUGAUCAACUUCUACUGGUGUUCUUACUGUCACAAAUUAUUUGAUAAAAUUUAAAAUUUUUAAUUCAAUGAAAAAAAGCUCUUGUUAUAUGUGUGGUUGAAAUGAGAGCAAUUUUAUGUAAUUAAUUAAUUUUUCCCCAACUCUUGCCCCAAUCAUUUGCCAUUUCUUAAUUGAAAAGUGGUUGUUAUCUCCAGUUGUUGCAACACUUUUGAUGCUUGGGAAAGUAGCGUUCAGGCAUAAAAAAAAUAAAUAAAAGGGGUUACCAUUUCUUAAGAAUUAGGCUUUGCGAAGAAAUUCUGAUUUAAUUGCAUUUCGGAUAUGGUUUCUAGGCAUCAAUGGCCUUAUUUGAACGGUUGCUUUGUUAGACGAUUUGCCAUGAUUUUCUUCAUUUGCCUCCAUUAGAUGUAAACCAAUGGAUGAUGAAGACUGUGAGCCAUUUACCCAGUUUUACUGGAUCAAAUUUUGUCACGUCAACAAUGCCAGGUUUGCAAAAAGAAAACUGGACGAGUUUGUUUUCCUUGGGAAUCGGCUGCAGGUAAGGUAUGCACCUAAUUUUGAGAGCUUCUUGGACUCAAAGGAGAAAUUAGAAGACUGGAGAAAGGAAGUUCUAGCACGAUUGAACCAUGAGUUUCGUAGUAUUAUAAAACACAGUCCAAAUUAUGAUUUUUCCAGGCAGAGUACACUUUUAUCUUUGCACUGAAAAAAGUAUGGUUUGUGCCAAUAUCUCUGAUUUUAGCCGGAAGGUCUAGAGGGUCUACAGUUCACAACCCAGGUGUUUCCAGUGAGCCUUUAUCUGUUGCAACUCCGUUUUCCCAAUCAACAAACAACCUAAGGUAGUAUGCUUUUUGUUCAAACUUGAUGGCGCUGGAGGUUUUUUUCAUGGCAAAGAUUUAGAUUUUUUUUUUUUUAUUUUUUUUUUAAUUUUAUUUUUAAUUUUAUUGUAGGGAAUCUGGAGAAUCACAUCUUAUUUUUCAAAGUAAAGAUUCUAUCCUCGCAAUGGUUUCUCAGAGUAAAGAUUCUACCCCCACAAUGGUUUCUUCUGAUCAGGUUUGUUACCAAUUUACAGUGACAUCCAAAACUCUAAUUCUUUUCCAAUUAAUUUCUUACAUGAUUUAAGAUGAGUAUGACACCUCCCAAACAAUAAAUAAAUUCCCUUCCAUACCGAGAUUUGAACCAUGAACAUUCUAAACAACCAAUACCCGAUCUAAAUCUCUGAUGGUUCAACUUGUGUAAUAAACUUAAUAAAAUUUAUAUCACCAGAGGUAAUUGUUAUCUUCACUCAACUUUGAUUUUUUCAGAUUAUCAACAAUAUAUCGGCCAUCCUAGAACCAUUUGCAUGGUUUGGUUUCUUGUCAUUGCUAAGCAAAUAGCUUCCUAGUAGAGUUUAUCCUAUAACCAGGAUAAUGUUUCUAUUUUUUGUCUCGUACUAGUAAAUGCUUUUCUCCUUUUUGUCUCAGGAUUAUUUUCCAUCCCAAUCGAUGAAUCAGACAGUUCAGUUGGUCAGGGAUAAGCUUAAUAAGACACAAUCAGGUGUUGAGCAUCUCAGAGCUGUACCUUCCAAAAAAAUGCGACUGGACAAUAGAAGAAGAAUUUAAUGUACUUUUAACAAUGGAGAGAGACAACAAGCACUAUCGAGUACUUUGCCUUCUUGUGUCAUCUCUGCUAAUUUGGUUACCUGCCUGCCUUGCUAGAUAAUUUAGAUAAACAGAAGUCAAUUUCAAUUGCAGAUGACGAAAAAAAAAGGGUACAAGUAAUGAGAGGGUUGGAAAAACUUAUAUCUAUGAUGGGUUGUAGCUGGUGACCAACUAUUGGACAGAAAGAAAGAAAGAAGCCAUGUCUGAAAUUGGUUAUAUGCUUGAAUUGAAUAGUCUACCAGCAGAACCAAAACUCCCUCGACAAAUAUUGAACAAGUCAAAAGAAUCUAAAGUCUGCACAUUACUCUAUGGAAAGAAACGAGCGGUUAAGGUAGUGAUUGCCAUAAAUUAGGAAACCCCUUGCUUUCAUUUAGAUAGCCAAAAUGAAAUAUCCAGAUUUGUACAACCACUCUAGUCGAAUUGGUUGCUCCUAUGGUGCAGGAGCAUUGCUCCAAAUCCGAGCAUCCAUUGAUGCAAUUGUAACCAGUUGAACUAGAGUGGUUUUUACAUAUUUGGAUAUUUCAUUCUGGUUAUGUAAUUGAAAGCUGGGGGUUUCUCAUCAUCAUCCAUGGCAAUCACUACCUUAAUAGCUCUCUUUUCUUUCCCUAGAGAAAUGUCACUUUCCAAGCAGACUUUAGGUUGUUUUGACUUGUUCCCUAUUUGCCGAGGGAGUUUUUCGUUCUACUGGUAGUCUAUUCAUUUCAAACAUAUAUACCAAUUUCAGACAUGGCUUCUUUCUUUCUGUCCAAUUGUUGGUCACCUGGUACAACCCUAAGUAGACGUGUUUUUUCUGAUCCAACCACGAUGUUGUAAAUGUGAAUAUUUAGUUGUUUAAGUUCUUUCAUUGCAGAUCAGUACGCUCCUCAGCUUUGUAUAAUUACGAGUAGAGGAACGAAAGUUCGAAUCGGAUCUUUCAUUAGAACUUUUAGUGAUCAAAAAGUAUUUGUAUACAUUGAUCAUUGAUGCCAUGUCUUAUGAAUCCAACAGUUUCGUGCGAGUAGAAAGUGAACAUGAAUUGCCUAAAUUUCACCCUCUUUAAUUCUUCUUGUUACAGCCUCCACUUUAUGGGGUAUUUAGUCGGAAUUGCUUAAUUUUCUUUUUGUCCACCAAUAGUUUUAGCUUGUGAUGUCUUUCUUCUACUUUUACCUUAUUGAUACAAGGGUUUGUUUGAUCACUCCGCCUGACUGGUUGGUUCCAAACAGAUUCUACACAUUAACUUCAUUUUGUGGACUUUAACAAUUCAUCCAUGCAUAAAUAUACAUUUUAUGAUUUUAGGUACAGAAGGGUAGAGUGGACAAUUUCUAACUAGAUGGAGACCAUAGUAUCCUUCGUGAAACCAGUCUUCUCAGGUCCACCUUGAAGCUUGAGGAGGUUGUUGGGGUUUAUUAUGUACGAAGAAAUUGAUUGUUGCUCUGUACUGCCAGUUUUGGGCUUCCACUGCCGCCUGCUUCAUUCUCUCAGCCAAUUCUCUGUUUGUUUAUAUUCUCUAUUUCAAGAUCCUUUUCAUCUUCAUAAUUACUCAUGCAUUUCUCUAUAGCACAACCUUACCCCUUUAAUCUCCUUAUAUCUCACAACCUCCCACUCUAUUUUUGUUCUCACCACCACCACCACCACCACCACCGGUAACCGUGAGAACCAAGACACCAACAAAGGAGAUUGUUCUAUAAGUUAAAAGAGCAAAAGCCCAUAGUACAUUCAUGGAGUUGGCUCAUAAAAUAGUUGAAAAAUACCAACUGCGAUUCAUGCGCCAUACCACCGCCCUCCAUCCCACCCUGGCCUUAGAUGACGCCUCCGGCUCCGCCACCACCAAUAACCAAACCCAAAUGACAAAUCAAACAAAUCCAGCAUCCCAAUCUCAAUCUAUGAGUCAUGAGAACACAUCAUCGCCAAUUCUUCAUUACCCCAUAUUGAGAUUUCACUUUGCAAGUACGCUUUAGUAUAUAAAUAAACCCUAAUUGUCCACUAAAAUUAAGAGAAAAUUAUUAUCAUCAACCACCACAGAUGGUAUCGCCUUCGCCGGUGGAAGAACUAGCAAUGUUACUAGAGAGGGGAAGGGGUGUGUGUGUGUAAACUACAUGUAUAAUAGGAUUUACAUAUAAUAUGGUGGCAGUGUGGUCCUUCUAUCUACACUUUUUUUUUAAAAGAAAUAUAUAAAUUAUACACAUACUACUAAGGUCAAGAUUGGUAUUGCAUUAAAAUAUUUUAAAGGUAUUAACUGUCAAGGGGGAAUUUGUAACUUUUGUCAAAUUUUGGGGAGGAUGACCAUAAUUUUUCAACAAGUUUAGUUUAUGGGUAAUAAGCUCAAACCUAAGAGAGGUUAAGGUAAUUCGCGCAUAACUUAAAUAUGAACAUCUACGCAUAAAUACAUUCCACAAAUAGUAAUACGCCUAUUCAAUAUCAACUAAACAGAGUGUUGACUAUAUAAUUAUCACAAUAAAAAAAAUUA
Molecule: RNA transcript, 4316 nt
Organism: Cornus florida
Lineage: Eukaryota; Viridiplantae; Streptophyta; Magnoliopsida; Cornales; Cornaceae
Exons: 4
Source: RefSeq, a predicted model, not a curated record